CCAAAUCUUGCUAUCCACCGUUAGAGCCAGCACCAACUCCGCACUCUUGUCUUGUCUGACUUGCCUCUUCUUUACACUCUGUUUGACUCUCUUACUAUCAAAGGGUUGGAAAUGGCGGAGAGCGGCUGCGUCACCUGCGGUAGCACCGACAGGAAGAUGAUCUCAGCCGACGAAGCUCUUCAAAUUGUGCUUAGUGUUGCCAAGCAACUGCCACAUGUCACCGUCCCACUUCACCAAGCUCUCGGAAAAGUUUUGGCUCAGGAUAUCCGUGCUCCUGACCCUUUGCCUCCUUAUCCAGCUUCAAUCAAGGAUGGUUAUGCAGUGGUUGCUUCGGAUGGCCCUGGUGAGUAUCCUGUAAUAACUGAAUCAAGAGCUGGAAAUGAUGGCGUUGGUGUCACAGUGACUCCUGGAACCGUUGCUUAUGUGACAACUGGAGGACCAAUACCUGAUGGUGCUGAUGCAGUUGUCCAAGUUGAGGACACUGAACAGGUUAAAGCUUCUUCAGUUGAAUCAAAGCGUGUAAGGAUAUUGGUGCAAACUAGAAAAGGUGUUGAUAUUCGUCCAGUGGGAUGUGACAUUCAGAAAGACGCACUGGUUUUAAAAUCUGGAGAAAGAAUAGGUGCUUCAGAAGUGGGACUACUAGCUACAGUGGGUGUUACAAUGGUGAAGGUGCAACCUAUGCCAGCAAUUGCUGUACUUUCUACUGGAGAUGAACUUGUAGAGCCCACAACGGGGUUCCUAAGUCGUGGCCAGAUUAGGGAUUCCAACCGUGCUAUGUUAUUGGCAGCUGCAACACAGCAACAAUGCAAAGUGCUUGACCUUGGUAUCGUUGGAGAUGACAAAGAAGAACUUGAGAGGGUCUUGGAUAGUGCUUUUUCUUCAGGGAUUAACAUUCUUUUGACUUCUGGGGGUGUUUCCAUGGGAGAUAAGGAUUUUGUUAAGCCACUGCUUGAAAAGAAGGGGACAGUACACUUCAACAAGGUUUGCAUGAAACCAGGGAAACCAUUGACAUUUGCAGAGAUAUAUUUCAAUCAGACGGAGAAUGUACCAGUAAACAAAGUUCUUGCAUUUGGUUUACCGGGAAAUCCAGUUAGCUGUCUAGUUUGCUUCCAUCUCUUUGUGGUUCCCACCAUACGCCACCUAGCAGGAUGGCCAAAUCCACAUCUUACGAGAGUUCAAGCUCGACUUCAACAACCAAUAAAGACAGAUCCAUUCCGGCCAGAAUUUCAUCACGCCACUAUCAGAUGGGAGAUUAAUGAUGGAUCAGGCAAUCCUGGAUUUGUUGCUGAGAGCACUGGUCAUCAAAUGAGUAGUCGGCUUUUGGGUAUGAAGUCAGCUAAUGCUUUGCUGGAGUUGCCAGCAACAGGGAGAGUUAUUACUGCUGGAAGUUCUAUCUCAGCCACUAUAAUUUCUGAUUUAAGUGAUUUAAGUGGUACUCCAUUGGGAAAGACUGCUUUGUCAUCAGAUUCAAGUUCAACUACUACACUACAUAAAAGUACAUUGAGUGAAACAACAGCAGAUGGAGCUCAGGAUGUACAGUUCAAAGUAGCUGUUCUUACAGUGAGUGAUACUGUUGCAUCAGGCGUAGGGCCCGAUCGAAGUGGGCCUAGGGCAGUGUCUGUUGUAAAUUCCUCAUCUGAAAAGUUAGGAGGAGCAAAGGUAGUCGCAGCAGCUGUGGUUUCAGAUGAUGUGGGAAAGAUCAAGGAUGUUUUGCAGAGAUGGAGUGAUAUUGACAAAAUGGAUCUUAUCCUUACACUAGGUGGCACUGGCUUCACCCCAAGAGAUGUGACCCCAGAAGCAACCAAAGAGUUAAUUGAAAAAGAAACACCUGGUCUUCUGUAUGUCAUGAUGCAAGAGAGUUUAAAGGUAACACCAUUUGCUAUGCUGUCACGCUCAGCAGCAGGAAUAAGAGGAUCAACAUUGGUUAUUUUUAGAGAUGAUGGACAUGUUGAUAUGCGUCCAUCCAAUGUGGUUUAACUUAAAGUCAGCCUAUUGCGUACUGGAAGUUUGGAAUUUCAUAGUGGUGCGCUUGGGGACAAACUGAAAAAUCAAGCCAUAUCAUCAACAUGCCCGGGAAUCCUAAUGCAGUCGCUGAAUGCAUGGAGGCUUUGUUGCCUGCACUUAAGCAUGCACUAAAGCAGAUAAAGGGUGACAAAAGGGAGAAACAUCCCCGCCAUGUCCCUCAUGAACAAGCUACCCCUGUGGAUACCUGGGAGCGCAGCCAUAAGUUGGCCUCAGCUGGUGGUAUUGAACCCCCUUGUUCUUGUUCCCAUUAAUAUAUCUUUUUCUUUUAGGAGAAGAAAGCAAUUAUCUUGAAGGUAAAUUCCAUUCUCUCUUUUUGUGGUUUCAACAGUUCUCACAUAAUAUUUUAUGAUUUCUUUUUUCUCAAUUACAAUAGAUGACAAAUCCAUUGUAAAGAAAAACAAUAUAUAUUCUAUAAUAAUAAUAAUAAUAAUAAUAAUAAUAAUAAUAGUAAUAGAAAAUCAUCUCCCCUCCUUGCUGAAUUGAACCAAGUGUAAGAUAUUGGGAUGGUCAGAGUUCUUGUAGGAGUAUUUUCCUAGGAAGACGAUACUCAUUUUUAUCUCUUUUACAUAAGUGGGAAAUGCACUAAUCAGUUUUCUUUCUUAAGAGAGGGCAAUUUAGAUAUUUUUUUGUAACAAUACAGUUUUAUAUUAUACAAGAUUUUCCUUUCUUCUAGCAUAGAAAAUUAUAGGGUCCAAAAAUGAGGACCUCGGGAAUUUGUGUACUUCUUAUAAGAGAAUACCACACCCAUGAGCUUAUUCUAUCAAAACUAAGGAGGAGCUUCAAGCAAGCUUCUUACCACAGUGUCUUUCAGUUCUCAGGAGCUCUUCAACACCUGUCCAUACCUUAGUUUUUCCCUUUUAUAAAGUUUUGAUGAAGGAUUUGAAUAUAAUAUUAUAAUUUUGUAUCUAGAUCAUUUUGCACAAGUUCAUUAGGUUGUAAUGAUAUUAACAAAAGGAAUAAGAAACUUUAAAUAAUAAUUAAGAAUAAAGUUGGUUUGGAAUUAAAUUCCCACAUAAUAAAAUGUCAACAAUAUGUACACCACAAGAUUAAGCAAUUGCUGUUAAUUUUUGUUGAAGCAUUCAACAAUCAUGCAGUCCUUGUCUAUAUGUUGCUAUGCACAAUAAUGUCCAAUACAAACAUUUCCCAUAUGAGUGGAAACAUCCUCUAGAAUGUCAAUCACAUUAAAAAAUUCUGGCCUUUCCGAAGGAUCAUUACUUGUGCAGUCCUUUAUUAGCCUAAAACAUUAGCAACACCCAUAAUUAAUAAUCGGUUAUUAAAUCGAAACUUGAGAUGAUUAUGAAGCAUUCUUGUACUUACUGUUGAAUUCUUUUAGGACAUCGGCUUAUUGGAAACUUCAUUUCGAAGUCAACAGAAUCUAAAUGUAUGAAGUCAAAGUUCAUGUUGUUCAGGAGGUGUGUUCCUUCUAGCAUCUGCGGCACAAUUAGGGUCAUUAACAUGAACAAUGAAGGAGAUGGAAUAUGAUAUUUUUGACUUUAAGUUCUUCAAAAGCAUAUACCUGAUAAAAUAUGAACCCAAAUGCACGUACAUCUUUGUUGAUACCAUUUGAUAGGUUGCUAGGCAUGCUAGAAGUUUCAUUUAUUUGACCUGUGAAAAGAAAAGAAGAUGCCUCUGUAAUUGCAUCACAUGGUAGUAGCAAUAUCAACCAUGAAACCAUGUAAAGUUUGAGGGAAUGGAAGUGAUUUUUACAUACAA
Theobroma cacao (cacao) is the source of this 3738-nucleotide RNA transcript. It is a transcript of the gene named molybdopterin biosynthesis CNX1 protein / molybdenum cofactor biosynthesis enzyme CNX1 (CNX1), with no coding region annotated. Lineage: Eukaryota; Viridiplantae; Streptophyta; Magnoliopsida; Malvales; Malvaceae. The record is from RefSeq and is a predicted model, not a curated record.